Molecule: ribosomal RNA, 95 nt
Filed under: Candidatus Kerfeldbacteria bacterium
Lineage: Bacteria; Candidatus Kerfeldiibacteriota
Description: partial 23S ribosomal RNA
Rfam family: Bacterial large subunit ribosomal RNA
Source: RNAcentral
UGGAUGCCCUGGGCGCUCAUGCCGAGGAAGGACGCAUAUAACAGCGAUAUUCGUCGGGGAGGAGUUAUAAUCCUUCGAUCCGGCGGUUUCCGAAU